UGGGGGAUAUUGCACAAUGGGGGGAACCCUGAUGCAGCGACGCCGCGUGAGGGAAGACGGCCUUCGGGUUGUAAACCUCUGUCGCAGGGGACGAAGGAGAUGACGGUACCCUGUGAGGAAGCCACGGCUAACUACGUGCCAGCAGCCGCGGUAAUACGUAGGUGGCGAGCGUUGUCCGGAAUUACUGGGUGUAAAGGGAGCGUAGGCGGGAUAUUAAGUUGAAUGUAUAAACUACCGGCUUAACCGAUAGAAGCGUUCAAAACUGAUAUUCUUGAGUGAAGUAGAGGCAGGCGGAAUUCCUAG
This 303-nucleotide ribosomal RNA is filed under the name uncultured bacterium. RNAcentral's name for it is "bacterial SSU rRNA". It matches the Rfam family "Bacterial small subunit ribosomal RNA", at positions 355 to 673 of the family's 1533-position model. The record is from RNAcentral.